Molecule: long non-coding RNA, 3279 nt
Organism: Carassius auratus (goldfish)
Lineage: Eukaryota; Metazoa; Chordata; Actinopteri; Cypriniformes; Cyprinidae
Source: Ensembl
GAAAGUUUCUGCUUGGUGCGGGUGGAAAAAAACAAUGUGAUGCCAUUUUCACUUGUAUGCAUCUUUUUAUACAGAAUGCACCUAAUGUAAUCGUUUUGGUCGGUUGCUUCAUCUGUCUUAUUUGAAGCUUUGCAGUUUGGCUUCUGUGGUUUUAAGACUACAGUAAACGCUGGUAACAUGCAUGUUUUUAGACUAUCUUUUUUAUGGUCAAUGCUUCUGCUGCUCUGCACUUCUGCUUUUCUACUUUCUCCGAAAAAAGAUGGUCUAUUCUGUACUUGAAACUCUAAAUGUGCAACUGAUUCAGCAGAUAAGGAAAAUUUAGUUUUUUGAUUCAGAUUAAUCUCUGGAAAUAAUAAUGACUUUCAUGCAUUUUAGAUGAAUUAAUUCUAUGAACUUUAGAUUGUUUAUUCUUUUGUUAGUCAUAUUGCUGAAAAGUUUGUUGGUAAAAACGGUUGACCAACAGUGUCUGUUUUCCCCUCCUAUGUGAAAGCUUCCUCUUUCUUUUUCUUUGUUAAAGUGAUGUAGUUUCCUGGUGUGUCAGUAGAGCUGCUGUCUGUCUGUCAGUGAAGACGCUGUGUGAGACUCGAUCUGACACUCUUCUGCUGGGAUUGAGCUCUUCUCUUCUGGAGACUGGACUUUAGAGAAAUGAUGCUGAUCUUUGGACUGAUGCUGCUGCUGCAAACUGCUGCAUGUGUGGAGUGGAAUUGCAGCUUUAAUCAAUCAGAUCCCUGUUACACAGCUCUGGGAGACAAACUCAAUCUGGUGAUGGUGCGGGACGCUAGUGAAUAUGACCUGAAGUUAAAAAAGAGAAUAGACAACAACAAAAAAGUUGAUCAAAUCUGUAGAGUAAAAUAUAGCAACAAGAAGGAAUGUGAUCUUUAUAAUAACAGAACUGAAGUGACAGUCAUUAAUGGGACUGUGUUAAUAAAGCGUGUGAUCAGAUCAGAUUCUGGGAAUUACACAUUAACUCUCACUGACUCAGACGGCAGAGAAACAUCUAGAGAUCUUCAAGUGAUUGUUGAAGCUCCUAUUGGCUCAGUGAAUGUGUCAAUCAUCUGCUCCUCCAGUGGGGUGAUGAGGGUGUCCUGCUCCUCUGAGGGGGAUCAGCUCCUCUACAACUGGACUCUGAAUGGAGGUCCACUGAUGGAUGGAAACAGCAGCAUUGAUCUGGAUGAAGAAACUGAUGGAAACAUCAGCUGCAGCGUGAAGAACCAUGUCAGUCACACACAGAAGACCAUUAGACUCCAACCCUGUCCUGGUCCAGAUCGUUUUUGCAGUUUUAAUCAAUCAGAUUCCUGUUACGCAGCUGUGGGAGACAAACUCAAUCUACUGCUGGUGCGGGACGCUCGAGAUCAAGAGCUGCAUUUGUAUAAGAUGUUAAUGGAUAGCAGAGAACUGGAAGUUUUUAGAAUAAAGAACAAAGAAGAGAAAAAACAUGAAUCCAUAAGAAACAGAUCUGAGUUCAUCUUUGAUAAUGGGACUCUGAUAAUAAACCGUGUGAUCAGAGCAGAUUCAGGAAAUUACAGAUUAGAGUUCUAUCACUCGGAUGGCUCAAGAACAUUUAAAAAGCAUCUACUUAUUAAUAUAGAAGCUCCUAUUGGCUCAGUGGAAGUGACAAUCAACUGCUCCUCCAAUCAGAGGUCAGUGUUCUGCUCAUCUGACGGGGAUCAGCUCCUUUACAACUGGACUCUGAAUGGAGAAAUACUAGAACAAGGACCAAUGAAUGGAAACACCACCAUUCAGCUAAAUGAGGGAACUGAUGGAGACAUCAGCUGCAGUGUGAAGAACCACUUCAGUCACGCACAGAAGACCAUUAGACUCAAACCCUGUCCUGGACCAACUACUGCAGCUGUGACCUCUAGUUUGACCUCUACGUCGAAGCAGACAUCAAUAAAUGGUGCGAGUUUCUCAUCAGCUGUUUUAAAAUUCUCUCUGAUUGCUUUGGGCUGCUUUGCUCUCGUCCUGAUUCUGCUGUUCAUCACUUUAUGUUACAUUUACAAGAAGAAGCAGCUCAAGUCAACACAAGCUGCUGCUGGAGGUACAGAGCUCAUAUACGCUGAUAUCUCCCAUGAGAAGAGGAGAGAAAAGAAGAAUACAGAAUCUUUCCAGGAUGCUAAUGUGGAAUAUGCCAUGGUCCAACUGCAGACAGCUAAAGGGAACUAGAAGAAGAAGUAGGAGGAGGAGGUGGUUCAGUACGGCGGGGUGACGUUCACUCUGAACCACUGAAAUGAUCAGCAGCAGCUUCAGGAUUAGUGUGUUUUCAAGGGGUGUAACAGUUCACGGUAAAAAAAAAAUUAAGUACCGCAGUUCAAAGUACAUCUGACAAGGCAUCUGUAAUAUGGUUUGGUAAAAAUUUUAAAGUUUGUCUAAUGUUUCUGUCAGUGGAUAUGCAUUCUGAUUAUCAAAAUAAUUGUUAGCUGCAGCUCUAAUUGACUCAUAUUUUUUUGCCAAGAAAAGCCUUUAAACCUUAUGAUAUGCUUAUGAAAAAUAAAUAAAAAUAAAGACAAAAGGUUGCUAUCUGUGUUUAAACUGAACUAAUUAAAUCCUUGCCAGUUUAAAUAUUUGAGAGCCAGAAGACGAGAAUGGAACUCAUGCAUGCAGUGAGAAAGUGUAUGCAUCUUCCCUGGGAAAUCACGACUUAGGUGCCCUUAAGCAAGGCAUCAAACCCCCAACUGCUCCCUGGGCGGUGCAGCAUAAAUGGCUGCCCACUGCUCCAGGUGUGUGUUCACAGUGUGUGUGUGUGUGUGUGUGCACUUCGGAUGGGUUAAAUGCAGAGCACAAAUUCUGAGUAUGGGUCACCAUACUUGGCUGAAUGUCAUGUCACUUUCACUUUCACUUUCAGUGUUUUAGCUCAGUUCAAAUUUCUGUAACAAUAGGACACAGGAUUGAGAUUCAGAUAUCUGUAUUUGUCCCCAAAGAGGCAAUUCAGUUCUACAGCCAACCCAUCCAAUAAGGUUAUUAGCACACAAUAAUAUAAGGAUUAUAAAGUUAAAAAAUGUAUACAACGAUCACACCCUAACACACACAUACAGCAAAACACACACAUUCACCUGCCAGUGGCAGAACAAAGCAGUGGAAUCCAAGAGCCAUUUAUGUAGUUAUGAGUUCUCAUUCAAGAAUCUUAUAGCAGAGGGAAGGAAUGAGUUUGCAUAACGAUUCGUUUUCCGUAUUGGCACAUAAUACCGCCGACCUGACUGCAUGAAUACAAAUCCAUACCUGAGCACAUGAUCUGGUUGGCACAGUAUUCUAUCUGCUAUUUGGACCACUUUUUUUUUUACC